Molecule: ribosomal RNA, 293 nt
Filed under: uncultured eukaryote
Lineage: Eukaryota
Description: partial 18S ribosomal RNA
Rfam family: Eukaryotic small subunit ribosomal RNA
Source: RNAcentral
GGUUGAUCCUGCCAGUAACAUAUGCUUGUCUCAAAGAUUAAGCCAUGCAUGUCCAAGUGUGAACUCUUUUUCGCAUAGCUGAACUGCGUACAGCUCAUUAAACCAGUUAUAAUUUGCUUGAAGAUGGGAUUGACUAGAUGGAUACCCGUAGUAAUUCUAGAGCUAAUACGUGCGUGUGUGUGUUUUGUUGUCAAAGGCAAGACACAGUGCUGAUUAGAUUUGUGUGUGUUGUUUCACAGUUAGUGAGAGGACUCAUGAUCAUCGUUCGGAUUGUCUCCUUUGUGAGACAACAA